Pecten maximus is the source of this 1273-nucleotide long non-coding RNA. RefSeq lists it as uncharacterized. The record is from RefSeq and is a predicted model, not a curated record. The transcript is spliced from 2 exons. Lineage: Eukaryota; Metazoa; Mollusca; Bivalvia; Pectinida; Pectinidae.
UUCCCCUCCAGCCAUGUAUAGGGACUAGGUGGUUCCCCUCCAGCCCUGUAUAGGGACUAGGUGGUUCCCCUCCAGCCCUGUAUAGGGACUAGUUGGUUCCCCUCCAGCCAUGUAUAGGGACUAGGUGGUUCCCCUCCAGCCCUGUUUAGGGACUAGGUGGUUCCCCUCCAACCCUGUAUAGGGACUAGGUGGUUCCCCUCCAGUCCUGUAUAGGGACUAGGUGGUUCCCCUCCAGCCCUGUAUAGGGACUAGGUGGUUCCCCUCCAGCCCUGUAUAGGGACUAGGUGGUUCCCCUCCAGCCCUGUAUAGGGACUAGGUGGUUCCCCUCCAGUCCUGUCUAGGGACUAGGUGGUUCCCCUCCAGCCAUGUAUAGGGACAAGGUGGUUCCCCUCCAGUCCUGUCUAGGGACUAGGUGGUUCCCCUCCAGUCCUGUAUAGGGACUAGUUGGUUCCCCUCCAGUCCUGUAUAGGGACUAGGUGGUUCCCCUCCAGUCCUGUCUAGGGACUAGGUGGUUCCCCUCCAGCCCUGUCUAGGGACUAGGUGGUUCCCCUCCAGCCCUGUAUAGGGACAAGGUGGUUCCCCUCCAGUCCUGUAUAGGGACUAGGUGGUUCCCCUCCAGCCCUGUCUAGGGACUAGGUGGUCCCCCUCCAGCCAUGUAUAGGGACUAGGUGGUUCCCCUCCAGUCCUGUAUAGGGACUAGGUGGUUCCCCUCCAGCCCUGUCUAGGGACUAGGUGGUUCCCCUCCAGCCCUGUCUAGGGACUAGGUGGUUCCCCUCCAGCCCUGUCUAGGGACUAGGUGGUUCCCCUCCAGCCCUGUAUAGGGACUAGGUGGUUCCCCUCCAGCCCUGUCUAGGGACUAGGUGGUUCCCCUCCAGUCCUGUAUAGGGACUAGGUGGUUCCCCUCCAGCCCUGUAUAGGGACUAGGUGGUUCCCCUCCAGUCCUGUAUAGGGACUAGGUGGUUCCCCUCCAGCCCUGUCUAGGGACUAGGUGGUUCCCCUCCGGCCCUGUAUAGGGACUAGUUGGAUGGCUUCACUAGGUUCAUUGCACCUUUGGAUACACAAUCGGCACCAUCACCUAGAAAUCGAAGGUUUGGAUUUUCUCCUCCCUUGGAUACAGGCCAGGCCCUUUUCCUAGAAAUUGUAGAUGUGGAUUUUCUCCUCCCCUAUGGGAUACAUAACAGGUAAUUUCCUAGGUAACUGUGGAUUUUGGGUUUCUUCUUUCUUUGAUAAAGGUCGGGACCUUUCCUUUGGAAUUGCUGAUGUGGGUACUUUC